GCUGGGUGUGGUAAUGCACAUCUGCAACCCCAGUUACUUGGGAGGCUGAGGCAGAAGGAUUGCAAGUUCAAGGGUAGCCUCAGCAAUUUAGCCAGAUCCUGUCUCAA
Molecule: small RNA, 107 nt
Filed under: Marmota monax (woodchuck)
Lineage: Eukaryota; Metazoa; Chordata; Mammalia; Rodentia; Sciuridae
Source: RNAcentral